GUGCCACCCGCGCGGAUGCGCUCGGCCAGAGUUCCCUGCGGCGUCAUCUCCAGUUCCAGCUCGCCCGCCAGGUAGAGCUUCUCGCAGAGCGCGUUCUCCCCCAGGUAGGAGCACACCACGCGCCUGACCUGCUUGGAGGCCAGCAAGAUGCCCAGGCCGAAGUCGUCCACGCCCACGUUGCUGCUGACGAUCUUCAGGUCCUUCACGCCCUUGGUCUUCAGCGCACCGAUCAGGUUCUCGGGGAUGCCGCAGAGCCCGAAGCCCCCGAGCAUGACGGUCGACCCAUCCUUGACGCCCUCCACCGCCUUCACCGGGUCCGUGUAGAAAUGGACACUCCCGCUGCGGUCCGAAACAUAGCGGCGGAUAAGGCGGUGGGGCAGCGCAGGUCGUGGGCGGAGAGCAGAGACCCCACGUGGGAGCGCCCAGGCCAGAAGCCUCAGCGCCGCCAUCUUCCACAGCCAUCGGGCUCCCAGCUCCGGGACAGAGAGAGAAAGACCAGGUGCACUUUGGCAGAGCAGCGCUCUGCGCUGCGUCACAGAGCAGGGAGGUGGACACUGCCAGGGAUGGUCGUGGGUCUCACUCAGCCGAGGACACCCUUGGCCAUUCCUGCUGCCCAGCCUGUCUCUCAAGAGCCUUGGACAGACACUUCAAACCCCUGCUUAAUGCUGCUGACAAAUGGCAGUGAGCACCGGGGCUCCACUGUACCCAAGAGAGCUCGCCCCAGGGCAGAGGUGGGGAUGGGGCAGUUCCAGGUUAGGAUCCCCCCUCCUGGAGGGAGGGGCUGAAGUUAGCGCAUCUUUUAAAGCCACAGUCCCAUCUGUCACCCCCUGAUGUUAAACUCUAAACUCUCCCAGGGCUGUGCCACGUUUCCCUAACUUAGAGUGACCCCUGCCCGCCACCUCCCUGUCCUCCCUUUCCAACCUAUCUUCCAGCCUUUUGCUGGACUCCAGAGAGACUGUUCCUGCCCUGUUGUCCUUUCUGUCCUCCCUGCCCGACAUAAGGAAAUGUCCCAGGAAACCCCUGUGAGUGAAGUAGAAACAUCUGUACCCAAGGAAACAGGCUUCCCUGCUGAGUUACAACUCUGCAGAGCUGUGAUAGCUCUGAGCUCAGGAAACCUGGGGUGCAGAUCCCCCCACCCCUCCUUCCUAGUACAGAACCUGUCAGAGUGGAGGCUUGCUGCCCAGAGAGAAGGACCCCUUUCCUGGAGGGGUCCUGGUUCUCAGGAGGUCAGUUGCUAUGUAUGAGGUGGACCAGAAGGCAUUCCUGGCUGGGGCCUUCCCAUGUCCAGGACCUCACCAUUCUGCCCAAGUCCUCAAUAAAGGCUAAACACCUCCCUCCCAACACCCCCACAGUGAGAGGUCUCUGUGUACUAGCCCGGUGGCCUCUGCUGGAACCACCUCCCAAGACCCCAGGGCAGCUCCCUGCUAAGUCCUGGAGUCUCACCAUCCUCGGUUUCCACAUAGAGGCGGAGUCCUAGGUCCUUGUGAUGGUUCAGCAGCCAUCGGUCACUGGCUGCUGUGAUGUCCAGCACCAGCCAGCCCUCGUCCCCAGAUCGGAGCGUCUGAAGAUCCAAAAAGAACAAGUCAGACUCCCUGUGGACAUGAAAGGACAAUUAACCAAGGGCUGAGGAGGUUGGCACAGCUGCUUGUAUCUUGUGCCUGCCUGGGGACCACUCUCAGAGCCUCUUCCCUGCUUGACUCUGGGCUGGUGUCUUUGGUUCCACAUUUCCCUGAUAAUCAACCCUUGACAUUUUAGAGUCCAUGUGCUGAUAGGGACACUGGCUCAGUGCUGUGACCUAGUGAGGGCCCCACAGCCAGAGUGACAGGGCAGGAGUUUCAGGCCAAACCCCUUUCUCAUGUCUGAGGCCCCUUUCCCAGGAGGCUUCCCUUUCCUUUCUUGGAAAUGCACCCCCUGGACAGGACCCCUGCCAGAGACCAGGAGGCUAUGAGGUGGGGUGGGCACUGGGCAGAGGGACGGUACCUGUUGGAGUGCUCUUGGACCACUUCGAACAUGCUGAUGUGGAGGGUUGUGUUGAGCGGGUGGGUACUGGGUUCUUUGUAGAUCCGGAACUCAGCAGCUGUGACAGCCUCCCCAGCAGGGAUCUGGGUUAGGUCAAAGUGGAAUUCCUUCCAGUGUGGCUCCUGGUAGCCCAGGGUACGGUCGCGUUCCACUGGAAGACAAAGUGGGAGUGGGGUCAUCACCAGGAGCCUGGAUGGCUUGUGCUCAGAGUAGGACCCCAGGCAGCCUGGGUGGGGCCCAUGCUUUCUCUACACACAGGCUUGUGGUCUGCCCUGGGUGCUCACCAGGUUUCAGGACUUGGGGCUGUGGGAAGCUGAGGAUGUGCUCAGCAGGCCCCUGGACGCACAGACAGUCACAGUGCUGCCUCUCAUAGCCCCCAGGCUGGCGGCAAGAUGGACAUUGGUCCAAGGUAGAGAAACAGCUCCAUUCCAAGGAGAAGCCCUGUGGACAGGGAUGUAAUUGGCUGAGCUUCAGUGGGAUAGAGGACUCCCAGAGCCUGCCUUUGUCUGACAGCUGAGCCUGGCUGGCAGGGCUGUGCUUCAGUUUCCUUCAGUGUUCUGGGUAAGGCUGUGCAGACUGCAGGCCACACCACAAGGUCAGCAGCAGAAGGGCCUCAGGGAAGGGAGGGACACAGUGCCAGCAACCAGAGGACAAAGGACCCACAUUUCUUCUAGGGGACAUAAGGAAAGUGGAAGAACAGAGGUAGAAAGAAAUAAACAUUAAAGAAGGAUGACAAGCCUGGGACAGGCCAUAACAUCCUGGAGACAUCUGCCCGACAUGGCAGGGUUUCUUAGCAGUUAGCAGAGGUGCUCUAUUCACAGGACAGCUGGUCUGCAUGGGUAAGGGGAGUGUUGCCUACCCACAGACCCACAGCAGUGAGCCAAACGAUCCAUGCGUGCUUUAGCAUGAGUGCAGUGUUGGGAGAGCUACAGUCUGAGAGUCCAGGUAGGAGAGCCCAGGGUGGGUGCAGCUGUCAGGGCAGAGGCCAAAUCUGAAGAACAAAUCCUACUUUUAUCCAACCGCACACACAUGCCUAGGGAGGAAUAUUUAGGGAGCAUCCCUGCACUGUUUUGUUUUUGCUUUUUGUUUUGUUUGAUUUGUAUUUGUUUUUGUUUUUGUCUUUUUGGCAGGGGGCUAGAGGGAGUUGGGAUUGAGACAAGGUUUCUCUGUGUAGCCCUGGCUGCCCUGGAACUCACUCUGUAGACCAGGCUGGCCUCGAACUCAGAGAUCUGCCUGCCUCUGCCUCCCGAGUGAUGGGAUUAAAGGCGUGCACCAGAUUCUUUCGCUCUCAAAGGCUGACAUAGCUAUGUUUCCAGAAAGCAGGGGUUAAAUCAGCCGUGUCUUCCCCAAACCUAAUAGAGAUUUUAAUUACAUCUUUCCAAGUCUUUAACAAUUUCCUCUGUGGCUACUAGGCCUGCUGAUCACAAGCUAGGUUCUUGAAAGCACUAGUAAACAUGGAGAGGGCUUUCUGUCUUUCUGUGAGGACUUUAAGGCAGUAAUGGCUGGGCUGGGGGGUGGGGGUGGGGGUGGGGGUGGGAGAAACCACAGUGAGCAAGACAGUUAAGCUCAGCACUAAGGAGGUUUAAAAAAACAAGAGAGGAACCCUGGUGUGGUAGUGCAUGCCUUUAAGGCCAGCACGCAGGCAGAGACAGACAGAGCUCUAUGAAUUCGAGCCAGCCUGGUCUACACAGGUACACAGGCUGGGGCCACACGGUGAGACCCUGGCUCAAAAAGAAAAAAAUAGAAUGUGAUGAUUAAAAAAAGAAAUCUUGUAAAUGU
Mus musculus (house mouse) is the source of this 3798-nucleotide long non-coding RNA. RefSeq annotates it as predicted gene, 17244. NCBI's taxonomy places the organism in Eukaryota, Metazoa, Chordata, Mammalia, Rodentia, Muridae. The record is from RefSeq and is marked validated. The transcript has a single exon.